RNAcentral lists this ribosomal RNA (468 nucleotides) under uncultured bacterium. Its description in RNAcentral is "partial 16S ribosomal RNA". It matches the Rfam family "Bacterial small subunit ribosomal RNA", at positions 28 to 507 of the family's 1533-position model. The record is from RNAcentral.
GACGAACGCUGGCGGCGUGCUUAACACAUGCAAGUCGAACGGAAAGGCCCUGCUUUUGUGGGGUGCUCGAGUGGCGAACGGGUGAGUAACACGUGAGUAACCUGCCCUUGACUUUGGGAUAACUUCAGGAAACUGGGGCUAAUACCGGAUAGGAGCUCCUGCUGCAUGGUGGGGGUUGGAAAGUUUCGGCGGUUGGGGAUGGACUCUCGGCUUAUCAGCUUGUUGGUGGGGUAGUGGCUUACCAAGGCUUUGACGGGUAGCCGGCCUGAGAGGGUGACCGGCCACAUUGGGACUGAGAAACGGCCAGGACUCCUACGGGAGGCAGCAGUGGGGAAUAUUGCACAAUGGGCGGAAGCCUGAUGCAGCAACGCCGCGUGCGGGAUGACGGCCUUCGGGUUGUAAACCGCUUUCGCCUGUGACGAAGCGUGAGUGACGGUAAUGGGUAAAGAAGCACCGGCUAACUACGUG